GGAGCAAGCAAGUGGGGAUAUUGCACAAUGGCGCAAGCUGAUGCAGCUACGCCGCCGUGCGGAUGACGGCUUCGAGUGUUAAUCGCUUUCAGUAGGGACGAAGGUAACUGGACGGUACCUACAGAAGAAGGACCGGCCAACUACGUGCCAGCAGCCGCGGUGAUACGUAGGGUCCGAGCGUUGUCCGGAAUUAUUGGGCGUAAAGGGCUGUAGGCGGUCUGUCACGUCGGAGGUGAAAACUCAGGGCUUAACCCUGAGCCUGCUUCCGAUACGGGCAGACUAGAGGGAUGCAGGGGAGAACGGAAUUCCUGGUGGAGCGGUGGAAUGCGCAGAUAUCAGGAGGAACACCGGUGGCGAAGGCGGUUCUCUGGGCAUUUCCUGACGCUGAGAAGCGAAAGCGUGGGUAGCAAACAGGCUUAGAUACCCUGGUAGUCCACGCCGUAAACGGUGGGCACUAGGUGUGGGGAACAUUCCACGUUCUCCGUGCCGCAGCUAACGCAUUAAGUGCCCCGCCUGGGGAGUACGGCCGCAAGGCUAAAACUCAAAGGAAUUGACGGGGGCCCGCACAAGCGGCGGAGCAUGCGGAUUAAUUCGAUGCAACGCGAAGAACCUUACCUGGGUUUGACAUAUACCGGAAAGCCGCAGAGAUGCGGUCCCCGAAAGGUCGGUAUACAGGUGGUGCAUGGCUGUCGUCAGCUCGUGUCGUGAGAUGUUGGGUUAAGUCCCGCAACGAGCGCAACCCUCGUCCUAUGUUGCCAGCGGAUCAUGCCGGGGACUCAUAGGAGACUGCCGGGGUCAACUCGGAGGAAGGUGGGGAUGACGUCAAGUCAUCAUGCCCCUUAAGUCCAGGGCUUCACGUAUGCUACAAUGGCUGGUACAAAGGGCUGCAAUACCGCAAGGUUGAGCGAAUCCCAAAAAGCCAGUCUCAGUUCGGAUUGGGGUCUGCAACUCGACCCCAUGAAGUCGGAGUCGCUAGUAAUCGCAGAUCAGCAACGCCGCGGUGAAUACGUUCCCGGG
This 1017-nucleotide ribosomal RNA is filed under the name uncultured bacterium. RNAcentral's name for it is "bacterial SSU rRNA". It matches the Rfam family "Bacterial small subunit ribosomal RNA", at positions 344 to 1378 of the family's 1533-position model. The record is from RNAcentral.